UUUCCGUAGGUCGCUAGAGUUCAGCCUACCAAAGCAAACCUUUCAAAACUGCUAGUCUCUCCCCGAGGCGACACGCUCAAUGUUGCGGAGAGGCCCUCUUUUCAGAGGGUAAUCCGCAGCCGGCCCCCUAAAGGCUGGUUCAGAGACUCAAUGAGUGUGGGUUUGGCCUUUUGGCCAGGCUUAAGAUAGAGCCCGUCCCCGUAGGCAACUGCGGGGGAUGAACGGAACCUGCGGAAGGAUCAUUAAAGAAUCGGUGACCCUCGCGGUCCCAUUCUCACCCUUUGUAUACCAAACUUCAGUUGCUUUGGCUGGCCUUCGCGGGCCGGCCAGAGGACUCAAACCCUUGAAUCUUUGCUGUCUGAGUACUAUAUAAUAGUUAAAACUUUCAACAACGGAUCUCUUGGUUCUG
RNAcentral lists this unclassified non-coding RNA (409 nucleotides) under plant metagenome. RNAcentral's name for it is "partial contains small subunit ribosomal RNA, internal transcribed spacer 1, and 5.8S ribosomal RNA". The stretch from base 2 to 215 matches the Rfam family "Group I catalytic intron". From Rfam's summary of the family: Group I catalytic introns are large self-splicing ribozymes. They catalyse their own excision from mRNA, tRNA and rRNA precursors in a wide range of organisms. The core secondary structure consists of 9 paired regions (P1-P9). The record is from RNAcentral.